GGCCAAGUUAGGUUUUUACUACAAUUGAAAAUGAAGUCUUAAAUCUAUUGAAGUAAAAUUUAGAAUUACUAUAAUUUUGAAAGAAGUUGAAUCAUGAUGAAGUACAUAAAGGGCGACAAAGGGAAGUAACGGCCUAACGGGGGUACUCUUUUUCCAUUGGAUGGAUUGGAAAGCCUGUUAUACGCUUGGAAGCAAAGGCACGCCCCAAGCCCAAGGUGAAAAGGCACAAUAUAUUCAAAUUCAAUUAUGUUUUGUUCAAAUUUUUUUUUAUCAUUUUAAUAAUAUCAUAUAUCAUAAUGGUUAAAGUAAUGCUGAUGGCAAACUGCUUAGAAAUGCACAGAUUACGCAAUUCACUAAGGGUUUUGUAAUAUUUAUAUUUCUAUGACACAAAUUUUACUUUCUAGUGCAAGAAUCUUCCCUGAUUAAAAUAAGAAAUGAAUUAAGUUCUUAUAACUAAACUGUUAUUUAACUAGAACAAUAAAAUUACACUCAUCACUUGAAAUCGUCAAAUUCUUUAUUGAUAUUGAAUUCGAACGACAAACCUUUUAAGGAACACUGUACGUCAAAAGCGAAUAUAAGCAUGAUAAUUGAGAAAUUUAACAAAAGACUUGGUGGCAGAUGCCAAACUGCAAUCGCAUCGUAGCUAGUUUCUGUUAUCCUCACGUGUUGGUGUGUGUGAUACAUGAUACAUUAUAAUGCCAAGGUAUUCGCAGGGCAAUACUUGUUUGUUUGUUUUUUUUUUUUACUUAAUUACAAUUUUCCAUUUUUACAUUCAUCGGCGAGGAAAUGGGAAAUAUUACCAAUAACAUUCCAGUGUCUUAUUAUAUAGCGUGUAAAAUAGAAUGAGG
This is a long non-coding RNA of Daphnia pulex (common water flea), 848 nucleotides long. RefSeq lists it as uncharacterized. The record is from RefSeq and is a predicted model, not a curated record. Lineage: Eukaryota; Metazoa; Arthropoda; Branchiopoda; Diplostraca; Daphniidae. The transcript is spliced from 3 exons.